RNAcentral lists this ribosomal RNA (301 nucleotides) under uncultured bacterium. Its description in RNAcentral is "partial 16S ribosomal RNA". It matches the Rfam family "Bacterial small subunit ribosomal RNA", at positions 512 to 808 of the family's 1533-position model. The record is from RNAcentral.
CAGUCCCGCGGUAAUACGUAGGGUGCAAGCGUUAAUCGGAAUUACUGGGCGUAAAGCGUGCGCAGGCGGUUAUAUAAGACAGAUGUGAAAUCCCCGGGCUCAACCUGGGAACUGCAUUUGUGACUGUAUAGCUAGAGUACGGCAGAGGGGGAUGGAAUUCCGCGUGUAGCAGUGAAAUGCGUAGAUAUGCGGAGGAACACCGAUGGCGAAGGCAAUCCCCUGGGCCUGUACUGACGCUCAUGCACGAAAGCGUGGGGAGCAAACAGGAUUAGAUACCCCUGUAGUCCCUGUCUCUUAUACC